CGAACAGAUAAGGAGCUUGCUCCUUUGACGUUAGCGGCGGACGGGUGAGUAACACGUGGGUAACCUACCUAUAAGACUGGGAUAACUUCGGGAAACCGGAGCUAAUACCGGAUAACAUUUGGAACCGCAUGGUUCUAAAGUGAAAGAUGGUUUUGCUAUCACUUAUAGAUGGACCCGCGCCGUAUUAGCUAGUUGGUAAGGUAACGGCUUACCAAGGCGACGAUACGUAGCCGACCUGAGAGGGUGAUCGGCCACACUGGAACUGAGACACGGUCCAGACUCCUACGGGAGGCAGCAGUAGGGAAUCUUCCGCAAUGGGCGAAAGCCUGACGGAGCAACGCCGCGUGAGUGAUGAAGGGUUUCGGCUCGUAAAACUCUGUUAUUAGGGAAGAACAAAUGUGUAAGUAACUGUGCACGUCUUGACGGUACCUAAUCAGAAAGCCACGGCUAACUACGUGCCAGCAGCCGCGGUAAUACGUAGGUGGCAAGCGUUAUCCGGAAUUAUUGGGCGUAAAGCGCGCGUAGGCGGUUUCUUAAGUCUGAUGUGAAAGCCCACGGCUCAACCGUGGAGGGUCAUUGGAAACUGGGAAACUUGAGUGCAGAAGAGGAAAGUGGAAUUCCAUGUGUAGCGGUGAAAUGCGCAGAGAUAUGGAGGAACACCAGUGGCGAAGGCGACUUUCUGGUCUGUAACUGACGCUGAUGUGCGAAAGCGUGGGGAUCAAACAGGAUUAGAUACCCUGGUAGUCCACGCCGUAAACGAUGAGUGCUAAGUGUUAGGGGGUUUCCGCCCCUUAGUGCUGCAGCUAACGCAUUAAGCACUCCGCCUGGGGAGUACGACCGCAAGGUUGAAACUCAAAGGAAUUGACGGGGACCCGCACAAGCGGUGGAGCAUGUGGUUUAAUUCGAAGCAACGCGAAGAACCUUACCAAAUCUUGACAUCCUUUGAAAACUCUAGAGAUAGAGCUUUCCCCUUCGGGGGACAAAGUGACAGGUGGUGCAUGGUUGUCGUCAGCUCGUGUCGUGAGAUGUUGGGUUAAGUCCCGCAACGAGCGCAACCCUUAAGCUUAGUUGCCAUCAUUAAGUUGGGCACUCUAGGUUGACUGCCGGUGACAAACCGGAGGAAGGUGGGGAUGACGUCAAAUCAUCAUGCCCCUUAUGAUUUGGGCUACACACGUGCUACAAUGGACAAUACAAAGGGCAGCUAAACCGCGAGGUCAUGCAAAUCCCAUAAAGUUGUUCUCAGUUCGGAUUGUAGUCUGCAACUCGACUACAUGAAGCUGGAAUCGCUAGUAAUCGUAGAUCAGCAUGCUACGGUGAAUACGUUCCCGGGUCUUGUACACACCGCCCGUCACACCACGAGAGUUUGUAACACCCGAAG
Molecule: ribosomal RNA, 1378 nt
Filed under: Staphylococcus pseudoxylosus
Lineage: Bacteria; Bacillati; Bacillota; Bacilli; Caryophanales; Staphylococcaceae
Description: bacterial SSU rRNA
Rfam family: Bacterial small subunit ribosomal RNA
Source: RNAcentral